ACUAGAAUGAACGGUUAAAUGAGGGCUUCACUGUCUCUUACAUUCGACCAAUAAACCUGAUCUUUCAGUCCAAAAGCUGAAAUAAACCCAUAAGACGAGAAGACCCUGUGGAGCUUCCAAACCAAGCCCACCACCCUAUGUCCCCUUGGUUUUUAGUUGGGGCGACUUUGGAGCACAAACAACCCUCCAACUACGGACCUUCCCCUCUAGAUGUACAUAUCAACAAAAAUUUUCCCCGACCCAGUAGCUAAACUGUCUAUCUGACCAAUGGACCAAGUUACCCCAGGGAUAACAGCGCCAUCCUCUUCUAGAGUCCCUAUCGACAAGAGGGUUUACGACCUCGAUGUUGGAUCAGGACACCCCUAUAGUGCAGCCGCUAUAAAAG
This 385-nucleotide ribosomal RNA is filed under the name Meroles cuneirostris. Its description in RNAcentral is "partial 16S ribosomal RNA". It matches the Rfam family "Archaeal large subunit ribosomal RNA", at positions 2063 to 2639 of the family's 2987-position model. Lineage: Eukaryota; Metazoa; Chordata; Lepidosauria; Squamata; Lacertidae. The record is from RNAcentral.